UGUUAGUGAUAGCACAAGACAUAACGGAACAUUCUGGAAAGGGUGGCCAUAGCGGGUGAUAGCCCCGUACGUGAAAUGACCUGUGUGGUACUGAGCUAACGAAAAGUAGGGCGGGACACGAGAAAUCCUGUCUGAAUAUGGGGGGACCAUCCUCCAAGGCUAAAUACUCAUCAUUGACCGAUAGUGAACUAGUACCGUGAGGGAAAGGCGAAAAGAACCCCGGGAGGGGAGUGAAAUAGAUCCUGAAACCGUGUGCUUACAAAAAGUAGGAGCCCGCAAGGGUGACUGCGUACCUUUUGUAUAAUGGGUCAGCGACUUACAUUCAGUGGCAAGGUUAACCGAAUAGGGAAGCCGUAGAGAAAUCGAGUCCGAAUAGGGGCGAAUCAGUCGCUGGGUGUAGACCCGAAACCAAGUGAUCUAUCCAUGGCCAGGAUGAAGGUGCCGUAACAGGUACUGGAGGUCCGAACCGACUAGUGUUGCAAAACUAGCGGAUGAGCUGUGGAUAGGGGUGAAAGGCUAAACAAACUUGGAAAUAGCUGGUU
Molecule: ribosomal RNA, 542 nt
Filed under: uncultured bacterium
Lineage: Bacteria
Description: bacterial LSU rRNA
Rfam family: Bacterial large subunit ribosomal RNA
Source: RNAcentral